This 1195-nucleotide long non-coding RNA is filed under the name Pan troglodytes (chimpanzee). RNAcentral describes it as "lincRNA". The record is from RNAcentral. Lineage: Eukaryota; Metazoa; Chordata; Mammalia; Primates; Hominidae.
GAGGAAGGCGGGUUCCUGGCUCGGCUCUACCACCAUGGAUCUAGGUGGGCUCAAUGUCAUCACAAGGGUGCUUAAGAGGGAAAGAGGAAGCCAUGAGGGUCAGAGUCAAAGGAAGACUUGAAGAUACUACACUGCGGACUUUACAGAUGAAGGAAGGGGCGAAAACCAAGAAUGUGGGAAGCCUCUAGAAGCUAGAGAAGGCAAGGAAACAAAUUUUCCACUAGAGCCUCCAGAAGGAACACAGCCCUGCUGACCCACUGUAAUGUCUGACCUCUAGAUGUGUAAGGGUAGUAAGACUGAAAGUCUCAGAAAGGCACUGUUACAUUCUUAUUCCACAACUAUGCAACUCGAAACUGGGGUCCUCAGCAGUGAGCGAGGGGUGAGAGAAGACACUGUAUAAACAUGGCACAUCCUCCUGGAAAGUCAACUUUACUCAAAGGUUCUUACACACAGUGACAGCUAGCAGAGUCUAAAAUGCUGACAUUAUGACUUAGAGAUGUGAUAAAGAGAAACAUCUACUGCAUUUUCUGUACCAAAAGCUCUUACUUCACUGGGGAGAUUUUUCACACGGGAGGAAAAGGACAAGUGGACUAUCACCUAUGUGGUCAGCUUACAACCUGAAUUUCUUGGAAAUGACCUAAUUUAAUUAUCUUCAUGGAUCUCCUUUGCUCUUUGAAUGAAGAGUAGUCAGCUAUUUUCUUUUUUUUUUUUUGAAUGGGGCUCUUGAGUGUCAGUUGCCAUUUUAAUGAAGUAGUGAUUUGGGCCCUUUCCUGAUAAUACAAGAGUUAGGUGUCAUGCUAGUUGGCUUGGCCCCUCUUAUUCCUCCAGUAUCCCUGAUAGGUCAGAUCAGAGUGAUUCUGGAGGGAAAGUAUGUUUCACUGUGGAUAUGUACAAUGGCAAUUCCCAGUUCUGGGAUUUAACUUAAUUCAAUUAUUCACAUGAUGAGCAGCAUCCACACACUCCUGGUAAAAUUUGAUAAAAUGCUGUAGCAUCAAGAUGCUUUUGUAGAGGCCUCUCUGCCAUUACCUGUUUUCUUGACUGGCAUUAAUCUCUACCAAAGCUAGAGACUUGAGCAUCAUCCUGAAUUCGGAGUCAUAAUCUGAUAGCUACAGGUCAAAGUUGGCCCAACGAUGUGUUGUUGGGAGUACCUUGAGCUUUGAAAAAAUAAAUAAAAGUAAUUAUCAACCCUGGAAAA